GCCCCCACUCGUUGCUCUCGAGUUCGAGUGGGAUACGGGUUCGACUUCCGGGGUACAGAAUCGAGGGUUUUGAUGCUGCACUGCUUCGUGGUUUCGAACUAUUCUCAUAUCGUUUCUACCUAGAUUUAAUACAUUGAGAUGAAAUUUGGGGGAGAACGUCGGCCCUCUGGAAGUUCCAGACGGACUAGCCCCUUUAAUCCUCCAUCUAUCUCUAGAUCUUAGUCUCAUUUCUGGAGAAAACUGUCUAAUCCCCUUCUUGUUCAUUAGAAUUACCAUUUAUUCAUGAUAACUAAAUUUAGGCAUCCAAGGGAACGCUAUGCCCUGGGCAUAAGCAAGUGAUACUAUGCCUGCACAUAGGCAAGGGCUGGACUCCCUUUCUAGCCUCUGAAUUUUGUUGCUGGAGUGUUGCCAUGAUGGACUAGGUCGAUGCUUGGGUUCUUCCUUUCUUGACCAGAGGAAAGGGAAGAUAGAGGAAAUGGUGCCCGUGAUUGCACUGUUACCUUUGUCAGUUAGCUCUGAACACAUAGUAAAUGGUACUGGACAAUACACAAGAUAUGAAUUAUCGAUGGCAUUGUUUGUAUGGAUAAACAGGUGUAGGACCAAACCACUUCCGCACCGUGUGUAUUACCAAAACAGUAUGAUAUGAUUGCUUUAUGGCCUGAAUUUAGCUUCUGUGGUUGCAUUUGUCAUGGUGGUUUGAUCGAAGCAAUGUAAACUGAGCCCAGAAAGCUUUGAGCACCAACACUAUGUUUUUUUAAAAAAUUCUGGAUCUUGAUAACUUGGAAAAGAUGAUAGCAUAAGUUAUAAAUUUUUGCGGGGGCAUUUUUUCCUGUUUUGAUGUUGUAAAAACAAGUAAUAAACUUUGGUGGGGGGAUUUUCCUGUUAUUGUGUGGUGUCUUUGACAGCUUUACAAUUGAAGAAUAUUGGCAUUGAAUUCAGGAACCAUAUGUGGUAAACAGAUUUGAAGUUUUAUUGAAUUUUCUUUUGAGGGACGGUAAUGCAUACUUUGUAUUGCAUUAACUACAGUUAUCAGUGGGCUAAUAACAGACUUGCAAUUAAGGAACAAUAACUUAUUGGUGAUAAUGUCCGAUUCAUUUGUGUGGUAAGAUGUUAAUAGGAUCAUUCAAUACUAGGUAUUUCCCUUCUGUUGCACUUUGAUCAUUUACAGCCUUUUCUUGCAUAGUUGAAUAGGUGUAAUUAUGAUGGAAAUGUUUCAUGCGUUUGUUUCCAAGAUGUUGCUGCAUGGCUUGCCGCUCAGGUCAUUAUGUUGCAGUCCGUGUUGGAGAGUUCGAUCGAUCGAUUGACAUUUUGAAUGUUUUUUUUUCAUGCGGUGAAAUCGAGCUCACCCCACCCCUUUCUUCAGUUUCUAAUCCUGUCUCAUCUGUGCCGAUUCCUUCCUGUCAUGCUACAAAGCACAUGGCGUUUGCAAACCUUUGGUGUUGGGUGAUCACCAUUAUUGAGGGUAAUGCAGUGGCUGAGGCUAGGCAGCGGUAGUCGGAUAUGCUCUUCUUCUACUCAGACGAAGUUAUACUAAGAACCUUGUGUUUCCACCAAAGUCUGAUAAAAGGACUCCAUGGAAACAAACUGUUCUCGUACUCCAUUGGGCGAUUUGACGAACCACAAUGAUGGAGGGGCUGAGAGGGAAAGGGAGAGAGCAAGGUAUGCAGCAAUGUCUCAGUCUGAGAAAAAUGCGAGAAAUUUGAGGCAGCGUGAAGCGCGUCAAAAAACAAAAGAACAUCAUAAUCUCAUGGAAAUAGUUGAUUCUCGUGCUCCAUUUGGCGACUUGACAAACCAGAGUAAUGGAGGUAAUUAUUAAUAGAAGAGGUUACUUGAGUUAAAAAGAUAGACACACUGACUAUAUAUGUUAUGCUAUUUACACUGCGGGGGCUAGGAGCGCACCCAAUCCACAGCCAGCAACCAAUGAUAGUAAGCAUCGAAAGCAGGAAAGGGAUAGAGCAAGGUAUGCAGCAAUGUCUCGAGAAGAGAAGAAUGCGAGAAAUCUGAGACAGCGUGAAUCACGACAAAAAAAGAAAGGUGCUAAAUAUUUUUUAUUUGUGGUGUUACAAAUGGAUUAUAUGUAAUCAAGAACUUCUGCAUAUGGUUCCCACGAUUCUGAGCACCGAAAUAAUAUGUAUUACUAGCCUAAUACGUACCAUGUGAAGGCCAUCUUGAUGCUUUUUCUGAAAUGGUAUAUAGUCCUCCAUAUGGUAGGCUUAAUUGCAGUACAUUUGUACUGUACCUUUGUGAUGCUUCGAACCAAAUCUGUUAUACUAAGAUUAACUUUUGGGUUGCUUGUGAA
Molecule: RNA transcript, 2299 nt
Organism: Panicum virgatum (switchgrass)
Lineage: Eukaryota; Viridiplantae; Streptophyta; Magnoliopsida; Poales; Poaceae
Gene name: cactin-like
Exons: 4
Source: RefSeq, a predicted model, not a curated record